Molecule: long non-coding RNA, 260 nt
Filed under: Hordeum vulgare
Lineage: Eukaryota; Viridiplantae; Streptophyta; Magnoliopsida; Poales; Poaceae
Description: long non-coding RNA (HVUL_LNC015528)
Source: RNAcentral
AAAUAUAUUAUUAUUCUUCUUUUUUCUCAUCUUAUUUUCUCCAUCUUCUACUCCUUCUUCUUAUUCUUAUUCUUCUUCUUUCUUUCUUAUUAUUACUUUUCUUCUCUUUCUUCUUCUUCUUCUUCUUCUUCUUCUUCUUCUUCUUCUUCUUCUGGUCUUCUUCUUGUUCUUCUUCUAACUUUCUUAUUCCCAUUUUGCAAAUUUGAUUCACUCCAUGGAAGCUGGCACUGAUGGAAUGCUAGUGUUUAGUUUAUGUUUUG